UGGAGCAGAAGACUCUCACCAUGAAGAUCACUCUCAAACUAUUACUGCUACUACUCCACAUCAUCAUACUUAUAUGCUGUUCAUCUGAGUGGAGCAGUAGAGGCUCAUCAACACUCACCAUGAAGAUCACUCUCUCCCUAUUCCUGCUACUACUCCACAUCAUCACAGGUGUGAAAUGUGAGAGUCUUGAAUCAUUACAAACUGUAGUUCAGAAAAAACCUGGAGAAACUCUGAGUCUCUCCUGCAGAGGAUCUGGAUUUACUUUUGGAAGCUACAACAUGCACUGGAUCAGGCAACAGGCUGGGAAACCACUGGUGUGGAUGGGAGCUAUGUGGUAUGAUGCCAGUGGAACCAGCUAUAGUAAAAGUUUUCAAGGGCGAAUAGAAAUCACCAGAGACAAUUCCAAGAGCAUGGUGUAUCUGAAACUGUCUGGACUGACAGCUGAGGACUCAGCUGUAUAUUACUGUGCACGUGAAGCACAAUGACAGAGUAUGAGGAUACACAAUACAAAAACAUGGGGCAGCUUUUAGAUAGUAAGAUUUGGAGAGUGUAGGUUUCAGCAGUUGGGGUCAUGAAAGAUCAACCCCAAAACUACACAGACAUAAACCAGCAUGUACAUGUCCAUGAGCCUCUUUUACAGCUACUUUACAGUAACUAAUUUGGUUUAACUAACAUAUUACAGACCACUGAGAUGCUUAUGUAGCUGUAUUACCUGAAAUGGUUGUGAAAGUACCUCAUUUUGUUGCAGCUCUUAAAUAGAUUUCUACUUCUGCCAUAUAAUCAGUAAAUCACCAAAGCCUGCCCUAAUACUAUAUAAAGAUAAGAUAAGUGCUUAGUUAAUUUUUACAUGAAUUAACAUAAUGUCAGGCAAAUAUCAACUUACACACUCACUAUAGAUCUCAUUGAUGCUUCAUUAAAACUAUAACAUUCUGAACUAAGACAGCCCAAAAUGUUUUCAAAAAUCAUUAUUAAAAAACAAUCUAGACUAUGUCAUGAUCAUUACUUGAUAAAUGAACAAUAUCAGGUAAUAGUGUCUAUUCUCCAUUACCAGUCUGUAACAGUGAAUAAGACUGCUAUGAUUUGUAGUCUGUGAUAUAAUUCAGUAUUUCUGUGGGGUUCAACCUUUUUAUUCUCCACUGACCUGCUCUGCAACACCAUAACUGACAUGUAUCUCACACUAUAUGACAUCUGUUAUGAACACCAGGAAUCACGCUCAACCCUGCACUGCCACGCCUACCUCUCCACACACAUGCUUCCGAUCUGGUUCACCGGAAUACUAGCACACACACACAUUGUUUCUCUCAUCACUGCUCCCUUAUUUAAACUCCCCUCCUUCAUACUCAUGUCGCGAAGUAUUGCCAACCUUAUGUUGCGUGCCAAACAGUUCAGUUACGGUUUUGUCUUCCUGGUUUUCGACUCCUGCCUGUGUUUCAGACCUUGUCUCCUGCCUGACCCCUGGACACCCCCCGGACUCUGCCCCGUGUUAUCGACCUCGAACCAACCUGACUAUGAAUAUCUGCCUGACCCCUCUGAUCUGUUUUAUUUCCCUAAUAAAACCUCUUGUGAUUGGAUCCUC
This is a non-coding RNA of Electrophorus electricus (electric eel), 1576 nucleotides long. Lineage: Eukaryota; Metazoa; Chordata; Actinopteri; Gymnotiformes; Gymnotidae. The record is from the annotation of a RefSeq genome assembly.